RNAcentral lists this ribosomal RNA (266 nucleotides) under uncultured Thermovirga sp. RNAcentral describes it as "partial 16S ribosomal RNA". It matches the Rfam family "Bacterial small subunit ribosomal RNA", at positions 1120 to 1382 of the family's 1533-position model. Lineage: Bacteria; Thermotogati; Synergistota; Synergistia; Synergistales; Thermovirgaceae. The record is from RNAcentral.
AUCGGGCGGAGCCGGGCACUCUGAGGGACUGCCGGCGACAAGCCGGAGGAAGGUGGGGAGUGACGUCAAGUCAUCAUGGCCCUUAUGUCCAGGGCGGACACACGUGCUACAAUGGCCGGCACAGCGGGAAGCGGAGGGGCGACCCUGAGCGGAUCCCUUGAAAGCCGGUCCCAGUUCGGAUUGCAGUCUGCAACUCGACUGCAUGAAGUUGGAAUCGCUAGUAAUCGCGGAUCAGCCAAGCCGCGGUGAAUACGUUCCCGGGCCUU